GCCAUUUACCUCCAUACAGCAAGUCUCUAACUAAGCCACCUUGGCAUAAUUUGUAUGGUAGGUAUCCACCUGCUCAAGCUGCUCCAGGGCUGUGGUCACAGCUGAAACAUCUUAAACAUCCAUCCCUUAAGUGCCUCAGGAGAGAUCAGGGGAGCGUUAGAGUACAGGUGGCUUUCAACAAGGUGUCCUGUUAUCAAGGGAUCUGAGAGACAACUUUCACCUUCAUAGGCCACAAAGGAAAGCUGUGACACAUCUCAUAAUGAGGCAGCAGUGCAAAAAGACCAUUCUGAAUGUCCUCUGCCCAAGAGGAGACUGUCCUGUUCACAGCAGAUCCCAACCCUAAAUGUAUUCCUGAAGCCCAAGCUCCAGAGAUACUGACAUUACGGAGUAGAGUGUAGGAUAGGGUACCUAUGGGUGUCCUUCCCCUUGAUUGGUGAGCAUUGGGGUGACUUGUGGAGGACACAGUCACCUCCUAUGCUGUGUGGACAGAGGCACUGAGGAGGAUUUAGCCCCCAGGCAAUUUGGCUCAGGGGCCUUUGGAGAGGUCACCAAGGCUAUUGGAGUUGCCCAUCAUCCAGAAGCUAUCAGGAUGCUCUGGAGGGCAUCCCCCCGCUUGCAGGGUCAAUGUGGCAGGCGCAAGUGCUGGCAUGCCAGAAGUUGCCUUCCUGAUCACGCUCACCCUGCUAGGGAGGGAUGAGACAGCAUUGUGCUUUAAAGAGCAUCCCCAACCCUAUCAGCAAGAGAUGAGAUAUCCUAAUUAUGGCAGAACAGGCUAGGAUCCGGGCCGUAUCAGCCAGCACAGAAAGGUUCACACCAAGCAGCAUCUACGAGCCUGCUGCAUGGCUCGCGGGAAGGCAGCCUGCUUCGUACAGUCAACCUCAGGUUGUGCUUGACAGACAAGGGAAACUGAGGCAGGACUGCGUGGAGGGGAGAUCCCACCAUGGAACAACACAGUGGCUCUUGCAAAAGGUGUCCCCUGGAAAGUAAACUCUGAAGGGCACUGGUACAGUGAAGCCCCAUCCUUCUCCUUGCUUGGACCUAUGACCAUGGAAGGGAUCCACUGGGAAAAGAGACCCUGAGACCCAUUGAGCACACCUCCACUCCAAACCCACAUCCAGUGGAACAGCCCAGACAUUCAUUACACAUUCAGGGUGUGCACACGGCAGGGAAUAAACUCCCGUUGUUACUCAUUAUAAGGAUGCCGUUUCUAACUCCUUUUGCAACCAAGAGGUAAAAAUUAAUGGGUUCCCCUCCUCUCGCCACACCCCCAGCCCGAGUGCUGAUGCAGCAGCAGCACACAAUGACUAAUCCUCCUUAAACCCUGCUGAGCAAA
Neopsephotus bourkii (Bourke's parrot) is the source of this 1333-nucleotide long non-coding RNA. RefSeq lists it as uncharacterized. The record is from RefSeq and is a predicted model, not a curated record. The transcript is spliced from 2 exons. Lineage: Eukaryota; Metazoa; Chordata; Aves; Psittaciformes; Psittacidae.